Long non-coding RNA from Triticum dicoccoides, 1235 nucleotides. RefSeq lists it as uncharacterized. The transcript is spliced from 10 exons. NCBI's taxonomy places the organism in Eukaryota, Viridiplantae, Streptophyta, Magnoliopsida, Poales, Poaceae. The record is from RefSeq and is a predicted model, not a curated record.
CAGCAGCUCCACUUUCCUUUUAUCCGCCACCACGCCAAGCCAUCUCGGCGAAGGACAAGGCUCGGGCUGCCGCCACCGCCUCUGCCCCGGCUAUAAAGGCGCGCCCUUUGGCCGGCCGCUCCUCCUCCUCCUCUCUUCCUCCGCGCCGCGCCUCUCGCCUGCUCGCCGCGCUCUGCCCGGUCUGCUCCUCCUCCUCCUCGUCCGGGCGGUGCCUCUCUCCUCCGACCUCCCCGCCGCGCUCCGGCCGGUAGGAUAUAGACAAAUGUCACAUUUGCUCUUCCUUGUGUUGCUAAGGACACUAAUGGGUAGGGUUUGCUUACCGCGCAGGACCGAUAAUUCUGAUAGUAGCUGAUAGUAUGCCAAGGACUGCUCAGGGUUCCUAUCACUUUCUGUUUUACCAGCUAAGAAUCCAGGGUGGAUGGAGGCUUUCAUGAUGGCUAAUUUGAUUUGUAAUGGUUCUGAUGGUGUGCUUCUUGUGUUUGAACUAAAGCCGUGGAUCACUCAUCAACCUGCUGAAUUAUUUCCGGAUAGGACAGAGGUGCAAUGUUUACAUACUUGGCAGAAGGUUCUUUAACACUGAACUCGUCAAAGGUCCUUGGACUCAAGAGGAAGAUGACAAAAUUAUUGACCUUGUAAACAAGUAUGGACUAACAAAAUGGUCGCAUUGCAAGGUCAGCUACCAGAACUUCCUACUGCUGAUCCUGGAAUGUUUCCGAACAUGCUCCCGAACAUGUUCAAUUUAUCAGCCCUAGGACAGCCACUGCCAUGACAUAGCAGGCUACUCGGCAUGCUCGGCGUGUUUAGGUCGGCGGACUUCCUCCGAUCGCUAAUAAACAGACGGUUGCUCUAUUCUUCAAUCAAGUUAUGGCUGCUAUCGGGGGAAACACAGUUGGUCUGGGUGAUGUAGUUCUUAAUACGAAGCUGAUUUUUGAAUUCAUUCAAAACAUCUUAGGUGGCAUAAUCAUCUGAAUCCAACCAUAUGGAAUGAUGCUUGGACUACUGAGGAGGAACAUGCACUGAUUAAUGCCAUCAGGUAUAUGAGAAUAAAUGAGCAGAUAUAACAAAAGUUCUUCCUGGAAGGUACUGCCAAACAACUUAUAUCAUGGGUGUUGCUUGUAGUUAGCUUUCUGUUUGUGCCCUUCCUAUCUCUGGUGUGUGUGACUGACUGUGCGUGUGACUGUCUGUGUAUGUGUGACUGAUUCUGUGUGACUGUUAUUUUGUGUGUGUGUGUGUGU